Molecule: long non-coding RNA, 4397 nt
Organism: Rhipicephalus sanguineus (brown dog tick)
Lineage: Eukaryota; Metazoa; Arthropoda; Arachnida; Ixodida; Ixodidae
Exons: 3
Source: RefSeq, a predicted model, not a curated record
GUCGGUGUCGUCAAGUAGCCGCAAAAGUCAAUACUCCCAUGAAAUGCGACGUUUGUGGCGUUGGCCUGUCUUCACUGGAAAAAAGUGGAGCACCACAUCGCAGCGCACAAAUUCGCCGCCGACUACGUGCAGCAGGCGUUCCACAAAGAUAAAGAAUUCAGUGAAUGGAAAGCUCAGGAAGAGGCGAACUGUUGGUUUGUUCUUCACACGGCUCCCAAAAAGCUGGCCAGUGGGGAAACGAGGAGCCACUACUACUCUAAUAGAUCAGGAGUGGCUAGGCCAAAGGAAGGUCAUGGUAAUCGUCGAGAAAAAAAGUCAGGGUACCUGCAAGUCCGGUAAGAUAUGUCUCAUUUAUUACUGUGACAAAGAAGGAGAACACUCAGAGCCCGGCACCUGAAGGUAUCACCAUAAAUGUAAGGCACCAAAGAAAGCAUUAUGGCCAUAAAGCAGAAAUUCAGCACUUGAGGAUGAGUGACAAAGAAAAGGCCAACGGGGUUAACCAACGUAGCAGAGGACCUGGAGCGUGGUGUGCCCAUGAAAACCAUAUUGAAUAAUAUAAGAACAUCUGUUGGGGGCAUGUAAGCUGAGGCCAGCACAUUUGGCAGAACGCAUAACUCUGCAUAACAUCAAACGGCAGUUUCACAUUGCUGCUCCUGAACAGUGUCACACCAAUGAUGCUGUCAGUGUAGAUAUGUGGGUGAAAGCAAUGUAGGACAAAGGUGAAACACUUGUCUGUCUGUAUAAGGCACAAGGUGCAGUGGACCCAACUGGUACUUUUGUUGCAACAGAUUUUGCCCUUGCUUUGAUGACAGAGCCACAAAAAGAGCUGUUAGAAGAAUUGGGCAUGGGCAGUGUGUCUUGACUCAACACAUGGAACUACAGGGUAACAGUUUGAGCUGACCACUCUUCUAGUGCUAGAUGAAGUGGGAUAAGGUAUACCUAUAGCCUAUUUCAUCUGCAACAGGAUGAAUGAGGAAAACUUGGCAGCUUUUUCAGGUCUCUUGAGUGUGCCAUCAACGAAAAAGUGGCUGCUAAGACAUUUAUGUCUGAUGACGCCUCACAAUUUUACAAGGCAUGGUCGUCAGUUAUGGGUGUCCCUCAGCAGAAACUUCUCUGCACCUGGCAUGUGGAUAGGAAUUGGCAGAAGAAGAUACAUGAGUUUGUAGAAAAACAACUGAGGCCAGACGUGUACCACAACGUGCGACUCCUUUUAGAGUUCCUUGACCAGCAAGAAUUUGAAAAGUAUCUGUAUCUUCAAUCAUUCCUUGACACUGAGGAAGAAAAACUGAGGGAUUUUCUGAAGUACUUCAAGGACAACUAUGCAGUUAGACCUCAAGAGCGGGCCUACUGCUUUAGGACGAGGGCAGGUAUCAACACCAACAUGCACCUUGAGAGCAUGCACAGGACGAUGAAGCACAGCAUGCUGGAGGGAAAGAAGAAUAAGCGUGUUGAUAAACUAAUUUCUGCACUCAUGGACUUGACAUAUCAUUUUUUGAUGAAGAGGGCAAUCCAGAUGAUCAAAGGGCAAGAAGUUGAGUGCAGUUGAAAGGUACCACAGAUCUGGCACUGAAAUGGCAGGUUGUGCCAAAUUAAACGAAGACAGCACGUGGACUGUGCCAUCUCAGUCUACUAAAGGGCACUCUUAUACAGUGACAAAAGUCGGGGAUGCUGCUUGCUGUCCCUUGAGAUGCAAUGAAUGUGCAGUGUGUGCGCACCUGAUACACUUCAAAGUGUGCAAGCACAUUCACUGUGUGGUCAUUGCUAACACAUUGUCAAGCACUGACAAUAACGACUAUGAGAGCCCACCUGAAACAGUAACUGAAACGAGUCGGGCAUUGCACAUAGUGCAAAGCAUUGCAAAGGUGGAGGCGGCCACAACAGUGCCGAGCCAAAAGUCAUGGAUCGAUCUCGGCCGCGGCGGUCACAUUUCGAUGGAGGCGAAAUGGUAGAAGCCCGUGUACGUACGAUGGCAGUGCACGUUAAAGAACACCAGAUGGUCUAUAGAACACCAGAUGGUCAAAAUUUCCGGAGCCCUCGACUACAGUGUGCCUUUACCUACCUCGUGGUUUUGGCACGUAAAACCCCAGAAAUUAUUAUUAUUAUUGCCAAUGAUGACCACAUGCCUCAACAAAUAUGAAAAGUACUAUGUGUUGAUGUUGGCACUGGACCGAGGUUUCCACUAAAUAUAAAAUUUAAGUCACUCAUAUGUCUCAUCUGCUCUAUCUGACACAACUGCUGCUGUAAUUAAUAAUUGACUGGAAUGCAAAGUGUUCGAUUGGUGAAUGUGCUGACCUGCCCAUUUCUCACUUAUGAUUUCUCAUUUCAGAUAUUGUAUUACUGAUUGUAGAGGUGUUAAAUGACAUUGAUUUCCCAAAGCUAUGGAGGAACCAAACCAGCAUUUUAAUAAAGCCUUAUUGUCAAAGCUUAACCUGGUUGUGUCUUCCUGUGUUGAUAAUGCAUACUUGUGCACGCGGUUUCUGCACUACAUUCAUUACAGUAAUGCAAUGCAGUUUCAUUUCAAGCCACGAGGACAGAGUCAGAAUCGAUUUAGAUCUGUUUCUUUCUUUAUGAAUGCUUAGAUUAUUAUUGUUGUUGUUGUUGUUAUUAUUAUUAUUAUUAUUAUUAUUAUUAUUAUUAUUAUUAUUAUUAUUGCAGCGGUAUUUGCACACGUUUUCUGGCUACGGCGCGAAUCCUUUAUUACAGAGGAGAGCUCGAUCAACAUCGACAUCGUCUGCAAUGGCGGAUUGUUUAUUUGCAAUUUGCAGCGUUUGCGCGAUGUAAAUUGUUCUUUCGCUAGUUUCUUGUACGCGGUAAUGUUAACAUUAACGCUCGCUAUCGAGUUUAGGGUAUGUUUUCUCACACGUGAAGGUGUGGUGCCUUUUUCACCCGUGAAUAUUCGUACUCGACGCCGCUCGCCUACCACAGCAGUUCAUCCGCCUUGGUGCAGUUGGCCUGCCUUGCAAACUCAUAAACGGCAUUGUGUGUUGCUGCCAUGUCUUCCGUUACUUUCUCUCAGUAGCAUGAACGAACUAUCCGCACCCGUUUUGUCUGCACUACAACGGAGAUGCCUCAACUUCAGCCUAUGUUAACCCCCACUGCCUUUCAAGGAACUAUGUCAACAAUGCCAGCACUAUGUGCUGCUGGGCCUCAUAACAUAAGCUUGCUCAGUGGCACAAACUGUCCAUAUACUUUUGCCCCACAAUGCAACUGUGCCAUUCUCAGUGGUCCGUAUUGGGAAGCACUCCAGAUCUACAAACACUAUGAUGUGCUGUUGACUGCUAGAAAAUGACUCGUUUAUAACAGCGGAGUUUUGCACAACAUAGAAAGGGUUAUGAAUGUAAAAAUGGCCAUCCACUCCCAUUUGUUGCACAAAGCUACGAUAAAAUUCAUAUGGAUUUCUCACAAAGAACAGCAUUUUAGUUGGCGAAAAAUUUGACAUGGUCCACAGUUUGAACUCGAGAACGACUUUUUUUCGGGGUGGUCGCUCUACCAUUUAAGCUAACCAGUAUGCUAAUAAUAAAAGUGUGAGGGCAAAUUCAGUUUGAAGCGCAUGGACACUGAAUAUGACAAAUGAGUUCUGUGGAAAGCACAGUAGGUAUAAGUAGCUUAUAAGCAGCUGCAAGUAAUGUUUUUUCUUUCAAGUUUGAUUUUCAUAAAUAGAUAUUAACACAGAAUCUUCUGCUAAAAGCUGCUGCACGUUUCCACAGGACCCAUUUGCCAAAUUCUGUGUGCUUUGACUUUUCAACUAAUUGGCCCUUACACUGCCCAUUGCUAGCCUACUGGCUAUCUCAGUUGUAGAGAAACAGCCCUGGAAAGGUGUUGGUUCCAGGCUUGAGCCCAGGAACAGUACGAAUUUUUUGUUUUCCUUUCUGAGAAAUCAGUAUGGAUUUCCUGGUAGCCUUGUACAAAACAGGUGGAUGGCCAUUUUUCAAUUCAAAAUAACUUGUUCUCUACACAGAUGAUGUAUGCGAACACAACUGUGAUGCCUUGAAUCAUGUCUGGACGAGCUGGGCUUGGAGCAUGUAGCCAAAUGUGAUGGUAGGAGCUCCAAGUGAAUGUUCUCAAAUGUUCAUUGUUCCAGUGCUCCCAGAACGAGGAAAAAGCUGGGACACAGCACUGUGUGCCUUGGCUUCUUUCCUCGCACUGUGACAUAAUGAAGUAGUACCAACUAGCCCAGUUCAUUGCGCUCUAAAAUGUGUUUAGCUACUUGUGAUGCCGUUCAGACCAAUCUGCUUGGCACAUUCACAGGUAGCAAUAGAACAGAGGGCUGCCGAGAUAGCAAAGCCAUAAAUGCAAGGCCUGCGCGUGCACAUCUGAGCUUGCAGAGAUGGUGUCCUGCAUAGGUCACUUGCUUGAUGAAUGUGCAAUAAAUGCAAUUUUUUGGGCAAUAAAGGUGU